UAGCACAAACCCUGCUGGCGGGAUGGCCUGAUACUCUUCUUUCUGCAUCGCUCUAGAGACAUCACGGGCUCCUGGAAGCGGAGACCGGCUGCAGGGCCCCAUCCCAGUCCUAGCUGCCCACAACCCAAGUGCCAGCAGGUGCUGAGGGACCUCGAACCCGCCAUUGCUUGUAGGCUGCCUAUUCCUGAACAGGUGGUGUCAUUCCAGGGCCCUGCGUCACCGCUGAUGUUUUCCUAAUAACACCUUGUGCUUCAACAGCGCCUUUCAUCUCAGGAUCUCAAAGCACAGCUUAGGCCCUUCAUUAAGCCUUCCAUAACCUCAGGAAGAGAGCCAUAUUGUUCCUCAGGCUGUUUCUGCUCUGCCCUGGGGCUGGGGUUAUGUGCACGUGAGAUACAAAGCAGCAUGGAGAGACAGGUCACAUUUUGGUGCCUCCAGGAGUGUUGCUGCACCGUACCCUGCAGCACACCGUGCCUCAGAGCAGCAUUGCCAGUGGACAAGCCAUUCCUCAUAUUGCACCCUGUCCUGGAGCAGCCCCCUGGAUCCUGUGCACCAUAUGCUAUGAAAUACUCUCUUCCUCCAGCCCCCUCCUGCCACCACUGCCCCACAGCCUGGCUGUGCUCUGGACACUGCUCCUGAACAUGAGUACACAGUAGGAAGAUGCCCAAGUAGCACUGCGCACCAUGGGCUUUCACUUCUCAAUUAUCACUUCUCUCUGGCAAAGUCCAAAUUACACUGAAAGCUCCUUGACGUGGAGAGCUUCCUUUCUCGUUACUAGAAAGUAUCUCCAGUGCAAUUCCUGGAACUGCAGGUGCUCUGGAAUCGCACAAAAAUAUGUGCACCUUAAGUUCUAAAAUGAGCAGAAAUCAAACCUUUGUGCUUCGUUUGGUUACUAAUGAGCAGUCCUAAUUAGUUACAGGGGGGCUCAUUUAAUGCCUAGAACUAAGUAAUUGCAGGAUUUAAUUAAAUUAAGUAGAAGGACUGUGGUCCCAAUGUUGCAACUGGAUCCAGCCAGGCACAGACAUCACUCUCACAGAACCACUGGCAAGAUCAACAA
Molecule: long non-coding RNA, 1054 nt
Organism: Gavialis gangeticus (Gharial)
Lineage: Eukaryota; Metazoa; Chordata; Crocodylia; Gavialidae
Exons: 2
Source: RefSeq, a predicted model, not a curated record